AUGAUUUCUAUAAUCUGUACUCAGUACUCCUGGGAGAUCGGGUUUGGAAUAAGAUACAGCAAGAGCCGUCUAAAUGCUGGAAGAACGAAAUGCAUGCAAGAAAUCGUCCGUGGUUGCUCAGGAAAACCAGAAGCCGAGAACAGCAAGUCGUGCAGAUGCGAGUGCCCAGCACUAAUCAGACUUCUGCGUGCAUGA
RNAcentral lists this ribosomal RNA (195 nucleotides) under Triticum aestivum (bread wheat). RNAcentral's name for it is "partial small subunit ribosomal RNA". Lineage: Eukaryota; Viridiplantae; Streptophyta; Magnoliopsida; Poales; Poaceae. The record is from RNAcentral.